GCAUAUCAAUAAGCGGAGGAAAAGAAACCAACCGGGAUUGCCUCAGUAACGGCGAGUGAAGCGGCAACAGCUCAAAUUUGAAAGCCCGCGGGCGUUGUAAUUUGCAGGCGGAUGUUUUGGGGCGGGCGCUGUCUACGUUCCUUGGAACAGGACGCCGCAGAGGGUGAGAGCCCCGUGCGAUGGCGCCUUUAACCGCGUAAAACUCCGCCGACGAGUCGAGUUGUUUGGGAAUGCAGCUCUAAGUGGGUGGUAAAUUCCAUCUAAAGCUAAAUACUGGCGAGAGACCGAUAGCGAACAAGUACAGUGAUGGAAAGAUGAAAAGCACUUUGAAAAGAGAGUGAAACAGCACGUGAAAUUGUUGAAAGGGAAGGGUAUGCGAUUAGCGGCCAGCAGGAGGUGCGUUCUCGCGAAAAGGCCGUGCACCGUCUUCGGACACCGUGCGCGGAGAUGGCGAGGGGGCGCCUGAGGUCUGCGACUCGAGGUUGCUGGCGUAAUGAUUGCAUACCACCCGUCUUGAAACACGGACA
RNAcentral lists this ribosomal RNA (527 nucleotides) under Diutina mesorugosa. RNAcentral describes it as "eukaryotic LSU rRNA". It matches the Rfam family "Eukaryotic large subunit ribosomal RNA", at positions 38 to 667 of the family's 3401-position model. The record is from RNAcentral. Lineage: Eukaryota; Fungi; Ascomycota; Pichiomycetes; Serinales; Debaryomycetaceae.